RNAcentral lists this ribosomal RNA (253 nucleotides) under uncultured bacterium. RNAcentral's name for it is "partial 16S ribosomal RNA". It matches the Rfam family "Bacterial small subunit ribosomal RNA", at positions 524 to 776 of the family's 1533-position model. RNAcentral also lists the same sequence under 1 other name. The record is from RNAcentral.
UACAGAGGUCCCGAGCGUUGUUCGGAUUUAUUGGGCGUAAAGGGUGCGUAGGCGGCGGAGUAAGUUGGGUGUGAAAUCCCGGGGCUUAACCUCGGAAUUGCAUUCAAUACUGCUUCGCUCGAGUACUGGAGAGGAGGCUGGAAUUUACGGUGUAGCAGUGAAAUGCGUAGAUAUCGUAAGGAAGGCCGGUGGCGAAAGCGAGCCUCUGGACAGUUACUGACGCUGAUGCACGAAGGCCAGGGGAGCAAACGGG